Small nuclear RNA from Ictidomys tridecemlineatus (thirteen-lined ground squirrel), 107 nucleotides. NCBI's taxonomy places the organism in Eukaryota, Metazoa, Chordata, Mammalia, Rodentia, Sciuridae. The record is from Ensembl.
GUGCUCAGUUCAGCAGCACAUAUUCUAAAAUUAGAAUGAUAUAGAGAAGAUUAGCAUGGACUCUAUGCAAGGAUGACAUGUAAAUUCAUGAAGCAUUCCAUAUUUAA